UAGGUAUUGGUGUUUCAAGGUGGAGUAGGUUGGAAUCUCUAACCAUAAAAGGGAGAUGAACUUUGUAAUUGGUGUUUCAAAAAUAGGGAAUACUUUUCUUUAUCUUUUAUGCAGUGGGAACCAUGUCAUGCAGUUGUUGCCACACCUUUGCUUAUUGCAUUUGAACUGCUUCUUUGCAACUAUCUUGAAAAUAGCCAUGUUACUAAGCCUCCACCUUUAAGCCUGCAGAUUGUCUUCCUUCCUCUGUUGGCGUUUGAAGUAACCAUUCUAACAGAUUUUUUCCAUCUUUCCUUCACUACAGGUGUACCAUGAGUCAGACAAGAGGAGAACCAAUCAAUAGUAGUCCUGCAUUUGAGAAUAUAAGUGCAGGUGCUUCACUUGCUGUUGUUGUGGAUGCUGUCAGAAAAGGUGCAGCUGCGUAAGGCAUGACAAUUACAGACUAUGUUUGGCGUGGACAUGAUCCCACAUCUUAGUAAGACUGGACUUGCACUUGACCUUUUUAAAGCUAAAUUCGAGGUUGUUAUGGAUGAAGCAAGAUCUGAACAAGCUGCAUCCAUGACUGAAUUUCAUUGGCUAGGGCAUAAAUUUCCAAUAUCAAAUGCCAAAACUCACGUUUCCAUUUUGAAAGCUAUAGGUGCUGUAUUAGGGCAACGUACCGUUGAACGCAACCAACUGUUUGUUAGUAUUGCAAAGAGUAAAAGAUAAAUUAGAUUACACAUGUCAAAGAGUCUCAAUAUUGAUAACUGUUAUGUAUGGUCUAUCAACACUUUACCAUCCAUUUUUUUAAAUUUAUAAAUAUGUAAUGUAUUAAAUAUGAUUAUAAAGCUAUACUGUUA
Lactuca sativa (garden lettuce) is the source of this 836-nucleotide long non-coding RNA. RefSeq lists it as uncharacterized. The record is from RefSeq and is a predicted model, not a curated record. Lineage: Eukaryota; Viridiplantae; Streptophyta; Magnoliopsida; Asterales; Asteraceae.